CUGGAGGCCAGAGAUGGUCAGAGAUGCCAUGUUCCUAACCGGGAGCCAGGGAAUCUCUCUGAGAUCCCUGAGAGUUGGCUGUUUUUCCUGUUGAUCAGGUGUUUGGGGGCAUGGCCCUGGUGCUGCUGCGGCCAGACAGCUCCAUCUUUGCCAACAUUGUUGCUGUCCCCAGUGCAGUACAGGAGAGGGUGACCUUCUGUCCCACGGUCCCUGACACCGAGGCUUCCUGGGUCAGCGCAGACUGUGCCCAGGACCCUGGAACAGAGGAGGCAGGCACAGAGAGGUCCAUGGAGGUGAACCACCCAGCACCCCUCAGCCUCUUGGAACUUGCAGCCCACAGCCUGCUGAGCAAUGAGGCUUCAGUUCCACUGGUGUUGGAACAGCUCACAGUGAACCUUUUCCCGCCACUACUCACUGCUGCAUUUGCCAAGGGGCACAGAAAGGCUCUGAAGGCCUUGGUGCAGGCCUGGCCCUUCCGGUUUCUCCAUCUGGGCUCUCUGAUAGUGCAGUGGCCCAACCAAGACAGCCUGCAAGCUGUGGUGGAUGGGCUGGAGGCCUUUUCUGCCCACAGGGCUUGUCCCAGGAAGUCAGAACUGAGGAUGCUGGAUUUCACCCUGGACUCUGAGCAAGUCUUUUACUGUGGUAAAGGGGCUUCUGAAGCCUUGGCCAAGUUCCCAUUUUGGUUACCAUCAGCAGUCAAGGCAGAGACGCCCCAGGCCACGGCCAGGCCCAAGCCAGCAAAGAACAUGAAAAAAGGAUGAAAGCAGCCAUGGGAAGCAGUGGAAAUACACAUUGAUCUUUUCCUAUGAGGCUUCUUCAAGUUAGAUAAGUUCCUCUCCGACCUCCUGACGAAAGUGGAACAGAGCCACGGGGCCCUGCAUCUCUGCUGUAGGAAGUUGCACAUUGAGAAGAUGGCCGUCGACAGUCUGCUGAGGAUCCUGAAGACACUCAGGCUGGAUUUCAUCCAGGAGCUGGAGGUGUUUUACUGGUGUAGAGACUUCUUGGUAUUGGCAGAGCCAAACCUAUCUGCCAUACAGCUGGGAAGGAUCUUCAACCUGCGCAGCCUCAAGCUCUUCUACUACAAGUGGGCCUUCUCCUCAUGGGUCAGGCGGCCCUCCAGCUACUUCUUCUCCCAGCUCACCAUGCUGGGCCACCUCCGGAAGCUGCACCUGUCUCACUCCUACCUCGUAGGCAAACUACAUUACAUACUCAGCUGUCUGUGGGUCCCACUACAUUCCCUGGAGAUCUGCAACUGCAAGCUUCUGGACACUGACAUCACCUACUUGUCCCGGAGCCAUCAUACCACCUGCCUGAAGAAGCUGGAUCUGAGCGUCAACGACUUGUCCUACAUGAUCCCUGGGCCCUUGGGUACCCUGCUGAGGGCAGUCUCAGGGACACUGCAGCACCUAGACCUGAAACACUGCUGGCUGAAGGAUGCCCACCUCAGUGCCCUCCUGCCCGCCCUGUGCCGCUGCUCCCACCUCAGUUCCCUGAGCCUCUCCGACAACCCCAUCUCCAGUGCCUGCCUCCUGAGCCUGCUGGAGCACACCAUGGGGCUGAUGGAGCUGAAGCAGGUACUCUAUCCCAUCCCAGUUGACUGCUGCAUCUACCUGCAUGGCGUCUGCCGGGGUCCUGUGAACGAGGACAAGCUGUGCCAGUUGCAGGCCGAGAUACAGAAGCAGCUGCAAGCCAUGCAGCAGGCUGACAUGCAGUGGAGCCCCUCCACUGUCUUUGCUUAUGCAGCUGGUGCAGUUUGAAUGAAGAACAGGAGCCAGGCUCAGGGAACAGAAGUCAGAGAGGGCAGCUGGAAUCACAGCUGAGGCCACAUGUUGUUUGCAAGGAACAUAAAAUAAACUUCCAUGGGAACUA
RNAcentral lists this long non-coding RNA (1869 nucleotides) under Homo sapiens (human). RNAcentral describes it as "non-protein coding lnc-TOP3B-1:3". The record is from RNAcentral. Lineage: Eukaryota; Metazoa; Chordata; Mammalia; Primates; Hominidae.